UCUGGAUCAGGGUCGACAUGCU
Molecule: unclassified non-coding RNA, 22 nt
Filed under: Mus musculus (house mouse)
Lineage: Eukaryota; Metazoa; Chordata; Mammalia; Rodentia; Muridae
Description: oocyte_clustered_small_RNA8622
Source: RNAcentral